Gopherus flavomarginatus (Mexican gopher tortoise) is the source of this 294-nucleotide long non-coding RNA. RefSeq lists it as uncharacterized. NCBI's taxonomy places the organism in Eukaryota, Metazoa, Chordata, Testudines, Testudinidae. The record is from RefSeq and is a predicted model, not a curated record. The transcript has 5 exons.
GGGAGAGGUGCAUUGUGCGGAGGGGGUGUACAGAUGUGGGGAGAGGUGCAUUGUGCGGAGGGGGUGUAUAGAUAUGGGGAGAGGUGCAUCGUGCGGAGGGGGUGUAUAGCAAUGGGGAGAGGUGCAUUGUGCGGAGGGGGUGUAUAGAUAUGGGGAGAGGUGCAUUGUGCAGAGGGGGUGUAUAGAUAUGGGGAGAGGUGCAUUGUGCAGAGGGGGUGUAUAGAUAUGGGGAGAGGUGCAUUGUGCGGAGGGGGUGUAUAGAUAUGGGGAGAGGUGCAUUGUGCGGAGGGAGUG